This 465-nucleotide ribosomal RNA is filed under the name uncultured Klebsiella sp. RNAcentral describes it as "bacterial SSU rRNA". It matches the Rfam family "Bacterial small subunit ribosomal RNA", at positions 338 to 795 of the family's 1533-position model. The record is from RNAcentral. Lineage: Bacteria; Pseudomonadati; Pseudomonadota; Gammaproteobacteria; Enterobacterales; Enterobacteriaceae.
CCUACGGGGGGCUGCAGUGGGGAAUAUUGCACAAUGGGCGCAAGCCUGAUGCAGCCAUGCCGCGUGUGUGAAGAAGGCCUUCGGGUUGUAAAGCACUUUCAGCGGGGAGGAAGGCGGUGAGGUUAAUAACCUCAUCGAUUGACGUUACCCGCAGAAGAAGCACCGGCUAACUCCGUGCCAGCAGCCGCGGUAAUACGGAGGGUGCAAGCGUUAAUCGGAAUUACUGGGCGUAAAGCGCACGCAGGCGGUCUGUCAAGUCGGAUGUGAAAUCGCCGGGCUCAACCUGGGAACUGCAUUCGAAACUGGCAGGCUAGAGUCUUGUAGAGGGGGGUAGAAUUCCAGGUGUAGCGGUGAAAUGCGUAGAGAUCUGGAGGAAUACCGGUGGCGAAGGCGGCCCCCUGGACAAAGACUGACGCUCAGGUGCGAAAGCGUGGGGAGCAAACAGGAUUAGAUACCCGUGUAGUC